GGUGCGGCAGUUGCGAUCGGCGCGGUCGAGGCGUGGAGCAGUCGAGAGGGAACAAGCGAGCGAACGAGAGAGAGAGAGAGAGAGAGAGAGCAAGCAGGAGAAAAAAAGAGAGCGACUCUCACGCGAGAGGGAAAGACCGCGAAGCUCACGCCCGCGUAAUUCCGUUACAUGUGCGGUCUGCCGUUGCCGGCGUGCGACAACGUUUUCGAAAGCGCGGAGGGCGAGUCCGUUCGUCGUUGCGGCAGUGGUAGUAAGUAGUGGUGGUAGUGGUGGUGGUGGUGGUGGUGCUAGUGACAGCAGUGGAGGUGGUGUAGCAGCAGCAGCAGCAGCAGCGGUGGCGGCGUGGUGUUGGUGCCGCCGUCGCGCACUCGCCGUUGAUCGCACAUCGUGGCGACAGCUAGUAGCGGCAGCCGUCGUCGCACGUCGCCGCCGUCGUGGUCGUCGUCGUCGUCGUCGCCCGGUCGCCGUCGCCGUCGCCGUCGCUAGACUCGGACAGGCUCGACUCCGAGUCGACCGUGUCGCGUACGCGAGUACAAUACGCGGGUAGUCGUGGACGUUACCCGCGCGUUUGGAAACGAGGUAACGGAUUAACGGUGUGUGGAGUGUGAGUCGCGCGCGCGCGCCCGCGCAAGGGACGAGAGAAAGUACGCACGGUCGGGACGCACAGGGGCAGGCCCGCAGCAGCAGCAGCAGCAGCAACGACAGCAGCAGCAGCAGAAGCAGCUUUGCCGCGUCGUGUUGCGCGCGAUCGCUAAACAAAGAUGGCGGACGUGGACUCGAGGGUAGACCGGUCCGAUCCGGAGCUGCGUAUCUUGUCGGUCGACAGGAACAGCUUCAACGACCCGGCGACCCAGGCGGAAUGGACUCAAAAGAAGCUGGUAUGGGUGCCGCACGAGACGCAGGGCUUCGUCGCCGCCGGCAUCAAGGGCGAGCGCGGCGACGAGGUCGAGGUGGAGAUCGCGGAGACCGGCAAGCGUGUGCUCGUCGCGAAGGACGACAUACAGAAGAUGAAUCCGCCCAAGUUCGACAAGGUCGAGGACAUGGCGGAGCUUACCUGUCUCAACGAGGCCUCCGUUCUGCAUAACCUCAAGGACCGAUACUACUCCGGACUGAUUUACACGUACUCUGGCCUCUUUUGCGUCGUAGUAAAUCCUUACAAAAGACUGCCGAUAUACACAGAGAAGAUCAUGGAAAGGUACAAAGGCAUCAAGAGACACGAAGUGCCACCACAUGUGUUUGCCAUUACUGAUACGGCUUAUCGUUCCAUGUUGCAAGAUCGCGAGGAUCAGUCGAUUUUGUGCACCGGCGAGUCCGGCGCCGGCAAGACCGAGAAUACGAAGAAAGUGAUUCAAUAUUUGGCCUAUGUGGCCGCGUCGAAACCCAAGUCCAACGCGACUCCGAGCCCGGCAUUAAUCAUAGGAUCUGGGAGUGUCACGGAAAAGUUUGCGGGUGAGCUUGAGCAACAGCUUCUUCAGGCAAAUCCAAUCUUAGAAGCAUUUGGUAAUGCCAAGACCGUGAAGAACGAUAACUCAUCCCGUUUCGGCAAAUUUAUAAGAAUAAAUUUUGACGCAUCCGGUUAUAUAGCCGGUGCAAACAUCGAGACAUAUCUUCUGGAGAAGUCGAGAGCUAUUCGGCAAGCGAAAGAUGAAAGGACGUUCCAUAUAUUUUAUCAGCUGUUGGCAGGCGCUUCAAUGGAACAAAAGAAGGAAUUUAUACUGGAAGAUCCAAAGCACUAUCCUUUCCUAUCGAAUGGAGCUCUACCAGUUCCUGGUGUCGACGAUUCUGCCGAAUUCUUCUCCACGGUCAAGUCAAUGCACAUCAUGGGCAUGACCAACGAGGACUUUUCCUCCAUCUUCCGUAUCGUUUCCGCCGUGAUGUUGUUUGGCUCGAUGCAGUUCCGUCAAGAGCGAAAUUCUGAUCAGGCGACCUUACCGGACAACACGGUGGCGCAAAAGAUCUCACAUCUAUUGGGUUUAAGUGUGACCGAGAUGACGAAAGCCUUCUUGAAGCCGCGUAUUAAGGUCGGUCGUGAUUUCGUUACAAAAGCACAGACGAAGGAACAGGUGGAAUUCGCCGUGGAGGCGAUCUCAAAGGCCUGUUAUGAGAGGAUGUUCCGUUGGCUGGUGAAUAGAAUCAAUAGGUCCCUUGACAGAACGAAGCGACAGGGCGCCAGUUUUAUCGGCAUAUUGGAUAUGGCCGGUUUUGAGAUAUUCGAGUUGAAUUCCUUCGAGCAGUUGUGUAUCAAUUACACAAAUGAGAAGCUGCAACAAUUGUUCAAUCACACGAUGUUUAUUUUGGAGCAGGAGGAGUAUCAGCGUGAGGGAAUUGAAUGGAAAUUUAUAGACUUCGGGUUGGAUCUGCAGCCAACGAUCGAUCUGAUCGACAAACCAAUGGGCAUUAUGGCGCUUUUAGAUGAGGAAUGUUGGUUCCCAAAAGCUACGGAUAAGACAUUCGUGGAGAAACUUGUUGGCGCUCACAGCGUCCACCCGAAGUUCAUGAAAACUGAUUUCCGCGGUGUGGCCGAUUUCGCGAUCAUUCAUUAUGCUGGUAAAGUGGACUAUUCUGCCGCUAAGUGGUUGAUGAAAAAUAUGGAUCCAUUGAAUGAGAACGUGGUCAGUCUUCUACAAGCCUCGCAGGAUCCAUUUGUAUGUCAUAUCUGGAAAGACGCUGAAAUCGUCGGUAUGGCGCAGCAGGCGCUCACGGACACGCAAUUUGGUGCGAGGACGAGGAAGGGCAUGUUCAGAACGGUUUCGCAACUGUACAAGGAACAAUUGUCCAAGCUGAUGGUGACAUUGCGCAAUACAAAUCCGAACUUUGUCAGAUGUAUAAUUCCGAAUCACGAGAAGAGAGCUGGUAAGAUCGAUGCUCCACUCGUGCUAGAUCAGUUGCGAUGUAACGGCGUGUUAGAAGGUAUUCGUAUCUGCCGGCAAGGCUUUCCAAAUAGAAUUCCGUUCCAAGAAUUCAGACAACGUUACGAACUGCUUACUCCAAAUGCUAUUCCUAAGGGAUUUAUGGAUGGAAAGAAGGCUUGUGAAAAGAUGAUUCAAGCAUUGGAGUUGGAUCCGAAUCUUUAUCGUGUUGGACAAUCGAAGAUCUUUUUCCGUGCCGGGGUAUUAGCUCAUUUGGAGGAGGAGAGAGACUACAAGAUCACGGACAUAAUCGUCAAUUUCCAGGCAUUCUGCCGCGGUUUCUUGGCCAGGCGCAAUUAUCAAAAACGUCUGCAGCAGCUUAACGCGAUCCGCAUUAUCCAGAGAAACUGUGCGGCCUACCUCAAGUUGCGCAACUGGCAAUGGUGGCGAUUGUACACCAAAGUGAAGCCUCUGCUGGAGGUUACGAAGCAGGAGGAAAAGCUCACGCAGAAGGAGGAUGAAUUAAAGCAGGUUCGCGACAAGCUGGAGCUACAACUGCACUCAGCUCAGGAAUACGAGCGCAAAUAUCAGCAGGCGAUGGCAGAAAAGACUGUGCUGGCCGAGCAAUUGCAAGCAGAGGUCGAGCUUUGCGCGGAAGCCGAAGAGAUGAGAGUUAGGCUGGUUGCGAGAAAACAAGAGCUAGAAGAAAUUUUGCACGAUUUGGAAGCGCGUAUCGAGGAAGAAGAAGAGAGAAGCGCCGCGUUGACCCAGGAGAAGAAGAAGUUACAGUUGAACAUCAGCGAUCUAGAAGAGCAACUGGAGGAAGAGGAAGCUGCUAGACAAAAAUUGCAAUUGGAAAAGGUCCAAUGUGACGCAAAGAUUAAAAAGUUAGAGGAAGAUCUCGCUCUUUCGGAUGAUACUAAUCAAAAGUUGCUAAAAGAGAAAAAGAUUCUCGAGGAACGUGCCAACGACCUUUCACAAACUUUGGCCGAGGAAGAGGAGAAAGCAAAGCAUUUAUCGAAAUUGAAAGCUAAGCACGAAGCGACAAUCGCCGAUCUUGAGGAGAGACUUCUCAAAGAUCAUCAACAACGACAGGAGGUGGAUAGAUCCAAGAGAAAAGUCGAAACUGAAGUUUCAGACUUGAAGGAUCAAUUAGCCGAAAGGAAAACGCAAGUUGAGGAAAUGCAGCUUCAACUUGGCAAACGCGAGGAGGAACUUAAUCAAGUUAUGGCAAAAAUGGAUGAAGAGGGUGCCGCUAAAGCCCAAGCUCAAAAAGCGCUUAGAGAAUUAGAAUCACAAUUAGCCGAACUUCAGGAAGAUUUGGAAGCUGAGAAAGCGGCUAGAGGUAAAGCGGAGAAACAGAAGCGUGAUUUGAAUGAGGAACUCGAGGCAUUGAAGAACGAAUUGCUCGAUUCUUUAGACACUACCGCAGCCCAGCAGGAGUUGCGAAGCAAACGAGAACAAGAACUCGCAACAUUGAAGAAGAACCUCGAAGAGGAAACAUCGUUGCAUGAAGCCACGCUUGCCGAUAUGCGUCAUAAGCAUACGCAAGAACUGACUGCUCUGAAUGAACAGAUGGAUGCAUUGAAGAAAACGAAGGCAGUUCUGGAGAAGGCAAAAGGAUCUCUAGAGGCGGAAAAUGCCGAUUUAGCAACAGAAUUGAGAUCUGUCAGCGCAAGCAGGCAAGAGUCUGACCGCCGUCGUAAGCAAGCGGAGCAACAGUUGGCGGAGAUAACCGCGAAAUUGGCAGAAAUAGACCGAACUAAACAAGAAUUAGCUGAGAAAGUGACGAAAUUACAACAAGAAGCAGAAAGCGUGAUGCAGCAAUUAGAAACCGCCGAACUGAAAGCAUCUGCGGCAUUGAAGGCGUCGGCCACGUGCGAAUCCCAAUUUACCGAGCUUCAACAGCAAUUGGAAGAAGAAACUCGGCAGAAACUGGCUCUCAGUUCGAAGUUGCGCACUUUAGAAAGUGAAAAGGAAAGUUUGCACGAUCAAAUUGAGGAGGAAGAAGAAGCAAAACGUGCCUUGGACAAGCAAGUGUUGAGUUUGAAUAUACAAUUGGCCGAAGCUAAGAAACGUGCCGAUGAUGAAGCAGAGGCGGCUGCCGUUCUCGAAGAAGCCAGAAAACGUUGUACGAAAGAUAUUGAAGGUCUUCAGCGGCAAGUUGAAGAGUUGCAGGCAGCCAACGACAAGCUAGAUAAAUCGAAGAAGAAGAUCCAGGCAGAAUUGGAGGACAGUAUCAUCGAGUUGGAGGCGCAGCGAGCAAAGGUACUCGAAUUAGAAAAGAAACAGAAGAACUUUGACAAGGUGCUAGCCGAGGAGAAAGCUGUAUCUGAACAGUACGCAGAGCAACGAGAUGCUGCGGAGAGAGAAGCGCGCGAGAAGGAGACAAGAGUGUUAUCAUUGACUCGCGAAAUGGACGAGCUUAAUGAGAAAGUUGAGGAACUUGAACGAGGCCGUAGAGGCCUACAAUCGGAACUGGACGAAUUGGUUAAUAACCAAGGUACCGCUGACAAGAAUGUCCAUGAGUUGGAGAAGGCAAAACGUUCAUUAGAAUCGCAAUUGCAAGAGCAGAAGUCGCAGGUAGAAGAAUUGGAAGACGAGUUACAAUUCACAGAAGAUGCUAAACUGCGAUUAGAAGUGAAUAUGCAGGCGUUACGAGCUCAGUUCGAGCGUGAUCUCCAGACCAAGGAAGAACAAGCGGAAGAGAAACGUCGGGGAUUAGUGAAACAACUUCGUGACCUCGAAGCAGAGCUCGAGGAUGAGAGGAAACAGCGUGCCGCAGCCAUCGCAGCACGUAAAAAAAUGGAGGCGGAUUACAAGGAUGUUGAACAACAAUUGGAGAUGCAUAAUAAGGUGAAGGAAGACGCGCUUAAGCAACUGAAGAAACUUCAAGCUCAAAUCAAGGAUUGCACCAGAGAAACUGAGGAAGCCAGAGCCGCCAGAGAUGAACUGGCAGCUGCUUCUAAGGAAACUGAGAGGAAAGUCAAGAGCUUAGAAGCUGAUUUGUUGCAAUUAACCGAGGACUUUGCCAGCAGCGAGCGCGCCAGAAGAACCGCUGAAAAUGAAAGAGACGAACUGCAGGAAGAAGUCAAUAACAACGCCAACAAGGGCACUCUGAUGUUAGACGAGAAACGUAGGUUGGAGGCAAGAAUCGCUACUUUGGAGGAAGAAUUGGAAGAGGAGCAGUCGAACGCCGAGAUCGUGAUGGAUCGCGCCAGAAAAGGUCAGAUUGUGAUCGAGCAGUUGACAACGGACUUGGCGACUGAGCGAUCCACCACGCAAAAGUUGGAAUCACAUAAGAUGUUGUUAGAGAGACAGAACAAAGAGCUCAAAGCCAAAUUAACUGAGCUAGAAACCGCGCAACGUGCCAAGACUAAGGCUACGAUACAACAAUUGGAGUCUAAGAUCAAUAAUCUCGACGAGCAACUUGAAACCGAAGCCAAGGAGAGAUUCGCCCAGCAGAAGAUCAAUCGCAAGCUGGAGAAGAAAUUGAAAGAACUAAGCCUACAGUUGGAGGACGAAAGACGAAACUCUGAUCAAUAUAAAGAACAGGCGGAGAAAGUCAACGCCAGGAUGAAGGCGUUGAAGAGACAAUUGGACGAAGCGGAGGAGGAGAUCAGUAGGCAUAAGACCAUGAAGCGGAAAGCGCAAAGAGAAAUGGACGACAUGAUAGAAUCUCACGAAGAGCUCACGCGGGAAUUGACACAUCUAAAGAAUAAAUUAAGGCCAUACGUAUCUGUAACCUUAGGCGAACGUAAUGAGGCAGUAUUAAAGUAGUGUUUUAUCUUUGAAGGAAGUGAUCAACUUCUGACAUGUGUAGGUGUCAAGAGAGAAAAAACGAUUGGUAUCCUACCUGAGAGAGUUUUUUGCUAGGAAACAAUCCCAUUAGUGUCCCCAGUGUGCUACAGCGCGGUGGUCCUCCGAUAAGUCUGAGCUCCACGAGGCUGAAACGCGGUUCUGUACAAACCGGCGGCUCGGGCGACGAUUCGACGACGCAGGACGAGAGCAUCGAUGGGGAGGAGAAUGCCAAUUGAAUAUCGGAGUCAGUCCAAUGUGCUCUCGAACCUCUGUGAAUUAUGUACAUACGUGCGUCGAGAGGGUGUUGGCUUUUUUUUGUUUGAUUCGGCGCGUCACACGGACUAAAUCUAUGUCUCGCGUCGCGAGUACGAGAGACCAGCUCCAUGCGAUUAAAAUCAAAAAUCGUUUCGACGAUGUCCCGACGGCGUUUUCGGCCUUAAGAUUAUUGCGACAACGAUCGUCCCGAGAGUUCGAUUGAUUGAUAAGGUGCCGAUGAUCCUAAAAGAAAGAGCCCCCCAGAGGCGAAGUAGCGAAAAAAAAACAAAAAUAAUCGAAUAGAGGACUUUUGAUACAUUUUAUAUAGAACAAACGCAAAUGUUGACCGCAUUUUACAUAUAUGUAUAAGGAAAGAACAGUGUAUGUGAGAGAGAAAAACAAAGUAGAAAAGGGAAAAUUUAAAAUAAAUUUUGGAGAAAGAA
RNA transcript from Solenopsis invicta (red fire ant), 7348 nucleotides. It is a transcript of the gene named myosin heavy chain, non-muscle, with no coding region annotated. The record is from RefSeq and is a predicted model, not a curated record. The transcript has 11 exons. NCBI's taxonomy places the organism in Eukaryota, Metazoa, Arthropoda, Insecta, Hymenoptera, Formicidae.